GACAGAGGGUGCAAACGUUGUUCGGAAUUACUGGGCGUAAAGCGAGUGUAGGCGGUCCGAUAAGUCGGGUGUGAAAGCCCUGGGCUCAACCCAGGAAGUGCACUCGAAACUGCCGGGCUAGAGUAUCGGAGAGGUUGGUGGAAUUCUCGGUGUAGAGGUGAAAUUCGUAGAUAUCGAGAGGAACACCGGUGGCAAAGGCGGCCAACUGGACGAAUACUGACGCUGAGACUCGAAAGCGUGGGGAGCAAACAGG
Molecule: ribosomal RNA, 253 nt
Filed under: uncultured bacterium
Lineage: Bacteria
Description: partial 16S ribosomal RNA
Rfam family: Bacterial small subunit ribosomal RNA
Source: RNAcentral